AAGACCUUGCGCUUUUGGAGCGGCCGAUGUCUGAUUAGCUAGUUGGUAGGGUAAUGGCCUACCAAAGCUUCGAUCAGUAGCUGGUCUGAGAGGACGACCAGCCACACUGGGACUGAGACACGGCCCAGACUCCUACGGGAGGCAGCAGUGGGGAAUUUUGGACAAUGGGCGCAAGCCUGAUCCAGCCAUGCCGCGUGAGUGAAGAAGGCCUUCGGGUUGUAAAGCUCUUUCAGCCGGGAAGAAAAGGCUACGACGAAUAAUCGUAGCUCAUGACGGUACCGGAAGAAGAAGCACCGGCUAACUACGUGCCAGCAGCCGCGGUAAUACGUAGGGUGCGAGCGUUAAUCGGAACUACUGGGCGUAAAGGGUGCGCAGGCGGUUUUGUAAGUCAGAUGUGAAAUCCCCGGGCUUAACCUGGGAACU
Molecule: ribosomal RNA, 423 nt
Filed under: uncultured bacterium
Lineage: Bacteria
Description: bacterial SSU rRNA
Rfam family: Bacterial small subunit ribosomal RNA
Source: RNAcentral